CGGGGGGGGCAAGCGUUGUUCGGAAUUACUGGGCGUAAAGGGCUCGUAGGCGGCUGGCUAAGUCGGAUGUGAAAUCCCCAGGCUUAACUUGGGAACUGCAUCCGAUACUGGCUGGCUUGAAUCCGGGAGAGGGAUGCAGAAUUCCAGGUGUAGCGGUGAAAUGCGUAGAUAUCUGGAGGAAUACCGGUGGCGAAGGCGGUAUCCUGGACCGGCAUUGACGCUGAUGAGCGAAAGCCAGGGGAGCAAACGGGAUUAGAUACCCCGGUAGUCCUGGCCCUAAACGAUGAUGCUUGGUGUGACGGGUAUCGAUCCCUGUCGUGCCGAAGCUAACGCAUUAAGCAUUCCGCCUGGGGAUACGGUCGCAAGGCUG
Molecule: ribosomal RNA, 370 nt
Filed under: uncultured organism
Description: bacterial SSU rRNA
Rfam family: Bacterial small subunit ribosomal RNA
Source: RNAcentral